RNAcentral lists this ribosomal RNA (910 nucleotides) under Exserohilum holmii. Its description in RNAcentral is "LSU rRNA". It matches the Rfam family "Eukaryotic large subunit ribosomal RNA", at positions 36 to 964 of the family's 3401-position model. Lineage: Eukaryota; Fungi; Ascomycota; Dothideomycetes; Pleosporales; Pleosporaceae. The record is from RNAcentral.
UAGCAUAUCAAUAAGCGGAGGAAAAGAAACCAACAGGGAUUGCCCUAGUAACGGCGAGUGAAGCGGCAACAGCUCAAAUUUGAAAUCUGGCUCUUUUAGAGUCCGAGUUGUAAUUUGCAGAGGGCGCUUUGGCUUUGGCAGCGGUCCAAGUUCCUUGGAACAGGACGUCACAGAGGGUGAGAAUCCCGUACGUGGUCGCUAGCUAUUGCCGUGUAAAGCCCCUUCGACGAGUCGAGUUGUUUGGGAAUGCAGCUCUAAAUGGGAGGUAAAUUUCUUCUAAAGCUAAAUAUUGGCCAGAGACCGAUAGCGCACAAGUAGAGUGAUCGAAAGAUGAAAAGCACUUUGGAAAGAGAGUCAAACAGCACGUGAAAUUGUUGAAAGGGAAGCGCUUGCAGCCAGACUUGCUUGCAGUUGCUCAUCCGGGCUUUUGCCCGGUGCACUCUUCUGCAGGCAGGCCAGCAUCAGUUUGGGCGGUGGGAUAAAGGUCUCUGUCAUGUACCUCUCUUCGGGGAGGCCUUAUAGGGGAGGCGACAUACCACCAGCCUAGACUGAGGUCCGCGCAUCUGCUAGGAUGCUGGCGUAAUGGCUGUAAGCGGCCCGUCUUGAAACACGGACCAAGGAGUCUAACAUCUAUGCGAGUGUUUGGGUGUCAAGCCCGAGCGCGUAAUGAAAGUGAACGGAGGUGGGAACCCGCAAGGGUGCACCAUCGACCGAUCCUGAAGUUUACGGAAGGAUUUGAGUAAGAGCAUGGCUGUUGGGACCCGAAAGAUGGUGAACUAUGCUUGAAUAGGGUGAAGCCAGAGGAAACUCUGGUGGAGGCUCGCAGCGGUUCUGACGUGCAAAUCGAUCGUCAAAUUUGGGCAUAGGGGCGAAAGACUAAUCGAACUAUCUAGUAGCUGGUUCCUGCCGA